UAAGGAAUAUUGGACAAUGGACGCAAGUCUGAUCCAGCCAUCCCGCGUGCAGGAUGACUGCCCUAUGGGUUGUAAACUGCUUUUAUUUGGGAAGAAACCUAUCCAUUUAUGGGUAGCUGACGGUACCUUAUGAAUAAGCACCGGCUAACUCCGUGCCAGCAGCCGCGGUAAUACGGAGGGUGCAAGCGUUAUCCGGAAUCACUGGGUUUAAAGGGAGCGUAGGCGGCAUAAUAAGUCAGAGGUGAAAGGCUGUAGCUCAACUAUGGAACUGCCUUUGAUACUGUUAUGCUUGAAUCAAGUUGAGGUUAGCAGAAUGUGACAUGUAGCGGUGAAAUGCAUAGAUAUGUCAUAGAAUACCAAUUGCGAAGGCAGCUGGCUGGACUUGUAUUGACGCUGAGGCUCGAAAGCGUGGGGAGCAAACAGG
This 424-nucleotide ribosomal RNA is filed under the name uncultured bacterium. RNAcentral describes it as "bacterial SSU rRNA". It matches the Rfam family "Bacterial small subunit ribosomal RNA", at positions 355 to 776 of the family's 1533-position model. The record is from RNAcentral.